UUUCUUGAAGAAAAAAGUUUUUUAACAAAAAGUUGUUACGCCUUUUAAGGUCUGUGUCCAUGAUGCUAGAACUCGGUCCGAGAACUCGGAUCGAGUUUUUGUUACUAAUUUUUUCGACUCGAAUAAUUACAAAUGGCAAUAUAUUUCAAUUUAUGAAAUUAACUGUAGUCAGGCAUGCCAAUAUUAAAGUAUUGAACUUGAUAAGAUUUGAUUAUGUAUCGAUUGUGUAUAUUUAUAUUAUUUAUAUUUUUUUCAUAUAAUGUGUAAAUUAAAAAAAUUGAUAGCUAUUGCUUUAAUAGCCGAAGCUGUAGAAAAUAAAGAAACAGAAGAAUUAAUUAAACAUCGAAUCGACAACGAAUUGAUCGAUGUCGAUCAAUUUGGACUCGAAAUGGAUUCUUCGGAGAAAUUUUUAAUUACAAGGCAUACUUAACCUUGCACAAGUAGAAUUAAGAAGAGAAGAUAAUAUAUUUGAAAGAUAAUAUGUUUUGAAAAGUUUUUUAGGAUGCGAAAUGAUUUAUUUGAUCGUCUUGUGGAAAUGAUAACACCAUACAUACAACGUCAAAAUAUUAAUAUGAGGGAAUGUAUAAGUCCUAAAGAACGGUUAUCACUCACUUUGAAAUUUUUGGCUACGGGCGAAAGUUGUAGAAGUCUAGAAUAUUCAACAAGAAUCCCAAACUUGUAUAAUUUCUCGCAUUAUUCCUGAAACUUGCCGUGUUUUAUAUGAAAUUCUUCGAAAACAUUAUUUAUAGACAUGGAAUGUCCCAAACUGUAUUGCUUCUAUGGAUGGAAAAUGCUCAAUUACAUAAUUUAGAAAUAAUAAAUGCAAGACCUAGCAAAAA
Pogonomyrmex barbatus (red harvester ant) is the source of this 839-nucleotide long non-coding RNA. RefSeq lists it as uncharacterized. Lineage: Eukaryota; Metazoa; Arthropoda; Insecta; Hymenoptera; Formicidae. The record is from RefSeq and is a predicted model, not a curated record.